ACUAUUCUUUAUAUAGACAUUAACAACGCUGAAAGAAAAAAAGAACAAAAACAUCGAAUUUCAACUGUUUGAUUCAAAUUGAUUCUUCGUUACAAGACCCGUCGACUGUUCGUACUUCAUAGGCGAACAAGAUUUAAAUUGCUUGCCAAGUUUCACGUGGAAUAGCAAGCAGUUUAUGAUUUGAGCUUUGGUCGAUCUCCGUUUCUUCAUUCUCGGAGGUUUUUAUUUUUCAGAAUAAAAGAGUCGAACUGUUUUAAACUCUUAGACCGCAGUAGUAGUAUCAGUUAUUCAUGUCUUAGUCUUUUAUUUAUAUUUUUGACUAUUGUUGUUGGAUUUGUCCAACUAUUACUUUAUCGCUUUUGGCAUGAUUACAGUGUUUAUGGUAUUUAUAUUAUAUUGCCAUACUGUUGGAGAUUUUUCUGAGAUAAGCGUAAUUUAAAUAUAUAUUGCUUUAUGUA
Long non-coding RNA from Mercurialis annua (annual mercury), 458 nucleotides. RefSeq lists it as uncharacterized. The record is from RefSeq and is a predicted model, not a curated record. The transcript has 3 exons. Lineage: Eukaryota; Viridiplantae; Streptophyta; Magnoliopsida; Malpighiales; Euphorbiaceae.